RNAcentral lists this ribosomal RNA (472 nucleotides) under uncultured bacterium. RNAcentral's name for it is "bacterial SSU rRNA". It matches the Rfam family "Bacterial small subunit ribosomal RNA", at positions 364 to 832 of the family's 1533-position model. The record is from RNAcentral.
UUCGCAAUGCCCGAAAGGGUGAACGAGCGACGCCGCGUGCGGGAUGAAGGGUUUCGGCUUGUAAACCGCUUUUCUUUGGGAAGAAGGUCUGUCUCGUGCAGAUGGGCUCGACGGUACCAGAGGAAUAAGCCUCGGCUAACUCCGUGCCAGCAGCCGCGGUAAGACGGAGGAGGCGAGCGUUGUUCGGAAUUAUUGGGCGUAAAGGGCGCGUAGGCGGACGGGAACGUCGGUCCUUGAAAGCCCCCGGCUCAACCGGGGAAGUGGAGCCGAAACGACCGGUCUGGAGGGACGUAGGGGGACCUGGAACUUCCGGUGGAGCGGUGAAAUGCGUUGAGAUCGGAAGGAACGCCCGUGGCGAAAGCGAGGUCCUGGACGUCUGCUGACGCUGAGACGCGAAAGCUAGGGGAGCAAACGGGAUUAGAUACCCCGGUAGUCCUAGCCGUAAACGAUGGGCACUAAGUAGAGGGGUUUU